RNAcentral lists this ribosomal RNA (429 nucleotides) under Bacteroidota bacterium. Its description in RNAcentral is "Bacteroidetes bacterium partial 16S ribosomal RNA". It matches the Rfam family "Bacterial small subunit ribosomal RNA", at positions 355 to 776 of the family's 1533-position model. Lineage: Bacteria; Pseudomonadati; Bacteroidota. The record is from RNAcentral.
UAGGGAAUCUUCGGCAAUGGGGGGAACCCUGACCGAGCAACGCCGCGUGAGUGAAGAAGGUAUUCGGAUCGUAAAGCUCUGUUGUUAAGGAAGAACGAGUGUGAGAAUGGAAAGUUCAUACUGUGACGGUACUUAACCAGAAAGGGACGGCUAACUACGUGCCAGCAGCCGCGGUAAUACGUAGGUCCCGAGCGUUGUCCGGAUUUAUUGGGCGUAAAGCGAGCGCAGGCGGUUAGAUAAGUCUGAAGUUAAAGGCAGUGGCUCAACCAUUGUAGGCUUUGGAAACUGUUUAACUUGAGUGCAGAAGGGGAGAGUGGAAUUCCAUGUGUAGCGGUGAAAUGCGUAGAUAUAUGGAGGAACACCGGUGGCGAAAGCGGCUCUCUGGUCUGUAACUGACGCUGAGGCUCGAAAGCGUGGGGAGCGAACAGG